GGUAGGGGGGGCAAGCGUUGUCCGGAUUUAUUGGGCGUAAAGAGCUCGUAGGCGGCUCGGUAAGUUGGGGGUGUGAAAACUCCAGGGCUCAACCUGGAGAGGCCACCUAAUACUGCUGUGGCUAGAGUCCGGUAGAGGAGCGUGGAAUUCCUGGUGUAGCGGUGAAAUGCGCAGAUAUCAGGAGGAACACCAGCGGCGAAGGCGGCGCUCUGGGCCGGUACUGACGCUGAGGAGCGAAAGCGUGGGGAGCAAACAGGAUUAGAUACCCUGGUAGUCCACGCCGUAAACGUUGGGCACUAGGUGUGGGGCCCUGCUAACGGGUUCCGUGCCGUAGCUAACGCAUUAAGUGCCCCGCCUGGGGAGUACGGCCGCAAGGCUA
RNAcentral lists this ribosomal RNA (379 nucleotides) under uncultured organism. Its description in RNAcentral is "partial 16S ribosomal RNA". It matches the Rfam family "Bacterial small subunit ribosomal RNA", at positions 524 to 896 of the family's 1533-position model. The record is from RNAcentral.